Molecule: long non-coding RNA, 367 nt
Filed under: Papio anubis (olive baboon)
Lineage: Eukaryota; Metazoa; Chordata; Mammalia; Primates; Cercopithecidae
Description: lncRNA (ENSPANG00000045968.1)
Source: RNAcentral
GCCUUUUUCAAUUAUGAGUGAAUCACAAAUCAAACUGACUUAAGAAACACAAAAGUAAGCAUGAAAUCUAUUGGCUCUUGAAUACCUGGGAAGUUCAAGGAUCCAAGGCAUGACUGGAGAGGAGAAAUCUGUCUUGGUGUUGGAGUGUCUUGGAAUUCGUGACAAGGACAAAAGUACACCAAGUAAACUAGUAAAAGAAAAGGACCAGCAACAAGGCACCAUCUUUGAAGCAAGAAACAGUCCCUUGCCAGACACCGAAUCUGCUAGCACCUUACUCUUGGACUUCCUCAACUGUGAACAAUACAUUUCUGUUGUUAACAAAUUACCCAUUGUAAGAUAUUUUGCCAUAGCAGCCAAAACAAACUAA